This 866-nucleotide ribosomal RNA is filed under the name uncultured Pseudomonadota bacterium. Its description in RNAcentral is "bacterial SSU rRNA". It matches the Rfam family "Bacterial small subunit ribosomal RNA", at positions 57 to 894 of the family's 1533-position model. Lineage: Bacteria; Pseudomonadati; Pseudomonadota. The record is from RNAcentral.
GCAAGUCGUGGGAGAAGUCGGGGCAACUCGGCAAGUAAACCGGCGCACGGGUGAGUAACACGUGGAUAACCUGCCUUGAAGUCCGGGAUAACCCGUCGAAAGACGGGCUAAUACUGGAUAAGACCACGGGAAGUUAGCUUUCUGGGGUAAAAGGUGGCCUCUGCUCUUGCAAGCUAUUACUUCGAGAGGGGUCCGCGUCCUAUCAGCUUGUUGGUGAGGUAACGGCUCACCAAGGCAAAGACGGGUAGCUGGUCUGAGAGGAUGGUCAGCCACACUGGGACUGAGACACGGCCCAGAGUCCUACGGGAUGCAGCAGUCAGGAAUAUUGCGCAAUGGAGGAAACUCUGACGCAGCGACGCCGCGUGGGUGAUGAAGGCCUUCGGGUCGUAAAGCCCUGUCGGAGGGAAAGAAAAGUCUGUUGGCUAAUAUCCAGCGGACCUUUGACGGUACCCUCAAAGGAAGCACCGGCUAACUCCGUGCCAGCAGCCGCGGUAAGACGGAGGGUGCGAGCGUUGUUCGGAUUGACUGGGCGUAAAGGGCGUGUAGGCGGUCGGCCAAGUCUGAUGUGAAAGCCCGGGGCUCAGCUCCGGAAGGGCGUCGGAAACUAGUCGGCUGGAGCGCGAUAGAGGAGGGUGGAAUUCCUGGUGUAGCGGUGAAAUGCGUAGAUAUCAGGAGGAACACCGGCGGCGAAGGCGGCCCUCUGGAUCGUUGCUGACGCUGAGACGCGAAAGCGUGGGGAGCAAACAGGAUUAGAUACCCUGUAGUCCACGCUGUAAACUAUGGGUACUAGGUGUUUGGGGUAUUGACCCCCUGAGUGCCGCAGUUAACGCAUUAAGUACCCCGCCUGGGGACUACGGCCGCAAGGU